This is a long non-coding RNA of Eriocheir sinensis (Chinese mitten crab), 2243 nucleotides long. RefSeq lists it as uncharacterized. The transcript is spliced from 3 exons. The record is from RefSeq and is a predicted model, not a curated record. Lineage: Eukaryota; Metazoa; Arthropoda; Malacostraca; Decapoda; Varunidae.
GUUACAUAUCCUUUCCUUUUUAUAAUGUAAGGGCGAAGAGUUUCUUUUUGAUUACGUAAAGGGUGAAAGAGGGAAGGAGAAAAGUCAAGGUUACCACAAACAAUACAAAAAGAAGUUACUAAUUGCUUAUAUGUUGGUCAGAGGUUACAUAUCCUUUCCUUUUUAUAAUGCAAGGGCGAAGAGUUCCUUUUUGAUUACGUAAAGGGAGAAAGAGGGAAGGAGAAAAGUCAAGGUUACCACAAACAAUACAAAAAGAAGUUACUAAUUGCUUAUAUGUUGGUCAGAGGUUACAUGUUCUUUCCUUCUGAUAAUCUAAGGGUGGCUUUUCUAAUUCGUAAAAGGAGAAAGAGGGAAGGAGAAAAGUCAAGGUUACGACAAACAAUACAAAAAGAAGUUACUAAUUGCUUAUAUGUUGGUCAGAGGUUACAUGUUCUUUCCUUCUGAUAAUCUAAGGGUGGCUUUUUAAAUUCGUAAAGGGAGAAAGAGGGAAGGGCAGAGUCAAGGGCACGACAAAUAACAUCAUACAAAAAGUCGUUUUAAUUGCUGUUAUGUUAGUGGUUGGUCAUGCAUUCUUUCCUUUUAAUAAUGUAAGGACGGCCGUAUAAAUUAGCAUACCCCAAAUCUCUAUGGCGCCAGUGUUCCUUCAUCAGCGAAUGUAAUAACAAAAAGUGCUGGUUCGUUUGAUCCUACCUCUAUGUUUUUCCUGGGCCAUAAUACGUGUUUCUCUUUAGAGUGUUAUUUGGGCACCAGCUUAAAUUAGCAUUGCCAUCUGUGUCCUCCCAGUGUUCCUCCGUCAAGGGACAUUAUACUAAAAGGCUAUCUGACUCUAGUAUUUAUAUUCUUUCCUUCUAACAUGAUAUUAAAAACAGUUCCAGCAGUAGGUUACAAUGCCUUUUCUGGUCUGAAGGCAUUAAGAUCACGAUGGGGUAACUGAAUAACGCACACCAAUGUCCCUUCAACAAGUAACACAAUGCAGAAACAAGGUCUUAGAGAAACUAUAGGCAUAGAUAAUGUGACUUUUCCUUCCUUUCUUUCCUGAUAAUGGUGUUUGGGCGUCUGUGUAAAUAAGUAUUGCCAGAGUCUAUGUCCCACCAGUGUUCCUCCACCAAGGGACACAAUACUAAAAGGCAAUCUCGGUCUUCAUUAAAUAUUCCUUAAUGAUAUUUGGGCGUGUGUUUAAAUUAGUAUUGCUGGCGUCCGUGUCUGGCCAGCGUUCCCCCAUCAAGAGACACAAUACUAACAGGCUAUCUCAUUCUACGUUCUAUAUUCUUUCCUGUUAAUGACAUUGGGCGCCUGUGUGAAUGAGCAUUGCCAUCAGUGCCUCCCUCUCUUCUCUCUCCAUAGCUCCCUUUUUUCCAUACUUUCUUCUCCCCCUUUCUCCCUUCUUUCCUCCCUUCCCUUCCUCCAUCAAGGGACAAUACUAACAGGCUAUCUCAUUCAAGUACGUUUUUAUAUUCUUUUCCUCUAAUGAUGUUCCCCGCCUGUGUGAAUUAGCAUUGCCGGCGUCCGUGUCCCGCCAGCAUACCUCCAUCAAGGGACAGUACUAACAGGCUAUCUCAUUCUCGUACAUUUAUAUUCUUUCCCUCUAUUGUAUUCAAGGGACAGUACUAACAGGCUAUCUCAUUCUAGUACAUUUAUAUUCUUUCCCUCUAUUAUAUUCAAGGGACAAUACUAACAGGCUAUCUCAUUCUAGUACAUUUUAUAUUAUUUCACUCUAAUGAUGUUCGCCGCCUGUGUGAAUGAGCAUUGCCGGCGUCCGUGUCCCGCCAGUGUACCUCCGUCAACGAAAAUAAUAAUAAAGGUUCUAAUUGUAGGUCAUAUGUUUUCACACUCGACUUAAAGAAAACAAGCCUACGUCCGCAUCAAGAACAGAGCAUCAAAACAAUCUCUACAAUAACAUCUGAUUGAAGAAAACUAAAAAAACAAAAUCAAAUGAGCUACAUAAAAAAAAGAUCUCAAAACACUCAAUAAUGGCAGGGCGCUCGUUGAAUGGGUAAUGGGUAAUGGGGUAAUGGGAUAGCAGAUGACCCCUUACGUCCCUUCAUCAGCGAACGUCAUGGUUAUAUUAUAUGUUUUGCUCUUUGCGAUGAUGUUGAUGCGUCUGUUUAAAUUAAUGCUGCCAGUCUAUGUCCGCCCGUGUUCCACCAUCAAGGGAAGGGUCAGAGCAAGCGAUUGACAUAAUGCAGAUGGUGGUGGUGGUGGUGGUGGUGGUGGUGGUGGUGGUGAUGGUGGUGGUGGUGGUG